Molecule: ribosomal RNA, 406 nt
Filed under: uncultured bacterium
Lineage: Bacteria
Description: partial 16S ribosomal RNA
Rfam family: Bacterial small subunit ribosomal RNA
Source: RNAcentral
AUUGAACGCUGGCGGCAGGCCUAACACAUGCAAGUCUGGCGAGCGGCGGACGGGUGAGUAAUUUAUGGGAAUCUGCCUGAUGGAGGGGGAUACCUACUGUAAACGGUAGCUAACACCGCAUACCCUCGGAUGACCCCACAUGGGAUUAGCUGGUAGGUACGGUACCGGCUGACCUAGGCGACGAUCCCUAGCUGGUCUGAGAGGAUGACCAGCCACACUGGGACUGAGACACGGCCCAGACUCCUACGGGAGGCAGCAGUGGGGAAUAUUGCACAAUGGGCGCAAGCCUGAUGCAGCCAUGCCGCGUGUAUGAAGAAGGCCUUCGGGUUGUAAAGUACUUUCAGUCGGGAGGCGUUACAGACAGAAGAAGCACCGGCUAACUCCGUGCCAGCAGCCGCGGUAAUAC